This 3626-nucleotide long non-coding RNA is filed under the name Bemisia tabaci. RNAcentral's name for it is "lncRNA ENSSSA2NGG011177". Lineage: Eukaryota; Metazoa; Arthropoda; Insecta; Hemiptera; Aleyrodidae. The record is from RNAcentral.
UUCGCCUCUUCUCUUCCUCUCUUUGCUCUGUAGACUUUAUUUCCGUACGAUGCAGCAAUCUUGUAGUAUUUUUCCCUUUUUAUUUGUGAUUAUGCAUCUUGCCAGUGUUUUUCAUUCUUUUUUAUAUAAUUUCCUUUGCACUGAUGAAGACCAAAAUGUUGGUCGAAAUGUUUGCGUGUCCACCAGGUUAAGGCAAAAUUGUAAAUAUGUUGACAUCCUCUUGCACAUUGCUUUUUUUUUAUUAAAACAUGGCCUGAGUCGCAAUCAUUGCAUAUAUUUGUAAAUAAUGCUAAUAGCUCAACUUUUUUUUUCGCAUUAUGAGUAGCCGAAAACGGGAAAAUCUUGUCACGAUUUUUCUCUGAUGACCGUACACUUUUGCACACGGUCUCCUUUUUUUAAAUUCCCGCAUUGUGUUGUCUGAAAUGUAUUUUUUAGGUGAAAAACUAAUGGAACUUCUCGUUUGCGGUAUUGUAAAAUGUUCAAGAAUAUGCGGUACAAGUUUCAACGGAAUUCAAGCAUUUGCUCGCCCUGGACCGCAUGCAAUAUUUGCGGAGAUUUUCAAACACAGUCAUCGAAACGUGCUUCUCUUGAGUCUGGCGUUUAAAUUGCGUCUAUUAUUUGAAUUCUUAAAAACGUAACUUUGUUCACUUGUUCCGCGUACGGAAAAAAAAAGGAAAAAAAGAUGACAGAUUAAAGUGGGAUACAGGUUGAGCGUUGAGAGUUGAGGCGUGUUCCUGUUCACACGGCAUGUCGGGAGGUUAGGCGUCCCGCUUGCGGUGCACCUCGAUGUGCACUUAGACGAGCAGCUCGGCAUGCCGUGUGAACGCAUCUUAAGUUCUCGGAACGGAAGAUUUUCAGAGUUCUCACUCAUUUUAAUGGAUUUUACUUCUUUUUCCCUUUGAUGCAAAAACACUUGACGAGUGGAGUGUGAAAAGGAAUUAACGGGAAGGAAAGGUAGGAAAAUUCACACUAAAUGUCAGAAUAAUGUACAGUGCGGUUAGUUCCGUUGGUGAAAUAACGACGAGCUCAAGCGCUUACAUUUGCAUCAAGAUAAUGUUUAUUUUACUGAUAAAUGGCCCCAAAAAUAUACUGGUAGUCUUAUUGGUUUCGUGUCUGGUCGCAGAAAUAAAGGCCAUGUUCCAGGGCGGUGGCGGUAUACUGGCUGAGUUGGGGCACGCCGAGCAGGGCUUGCGUCGGUUGAAUUGGAUCCGAGAAAACAGGAGGAGGAUCCUGUCCAUGGAUAGAUGCAUCGAAUCGUGGUGCGUUUGGUUUGCGACCCCGAGGACGCGGCGGGAAAAGAAGAGGGUCACCGAUGUGGCUUGCGAACAGGCUUUUGAGGCCUUCAAAGAGAUCUUCCACAGUCGGGAACAAGGGAUCUGCGGCCGGACCUACGACGCCCGGUGCCGCUUCCACAACGAUCAGUAUCAGUGCACGGCUCGGCAUGGCAAUGGCAACCAAAUCAUCUCGCUCCAGGAGUGCGUCUACGAUAUCCCUUUGCAGCAGCCCGUCCACCCACCGAACCAGAACAUCCUAGCAUGAGGUGUCGAAUCAUCAUAUGGACGUAUUUCUAUCAAACGGAACUAAGCGCCAUCAGGGGAGGAAGGAAGAGGGGGGCUUGGAUUGGCGGCGGAAACGGGCGCCGUGCUCAAUCCGUCCUGUACUCGCAAUGCUUUUCCAUGGCGCUUAGGUCCGUUUGACAGAACGCGCUAUCCGGCAUUCUAAAUUCAUCAAAAGGAACUCAAACAGGUCCGUUUGGUAGAAAUACGUCCAUAUCAUCAUACUCUUUGAUAUAAAAUGGACGUAUUUCUACAAACGUUUUCUUUUUUUUUUCGUUUUUUAUGGACGUGUUUCAAUAUGUAAUUUGUGUUUCCAAUUUACACAUGUAGGUAUUAAAAAUGUUCAAAUUUUAUUCAAGAUAUUUAAAUUGAUGUAGGUAUUUCAUUUUUUCUUUUUUUAAAUCUCUCUCUUUCUCUCUCUCUCUCUCUCCUCUCCUCUCUCUCCCUCUCUCUCUCCUCUCUCUCUCUCUCUCUCUCUCCUCCUCUCUCUCUCUCUCUCCUCUCUCCCCCUUUUGUAUUUCAUCAAUUAAUGUUUUACUUUAUACUAGAAUCUUUUUCUAGAUUUAAUUAAUAAUUUUCUACAAUAUGUACUUGUGUUUUUCCUAUUUCCUUUGUUAUUUUAUUUCAUCAUGUUAUUUGUGUUUCAAAUUCUUUAUUAAUUGUAUUUAAGAUAUUCAUAUUCAUGUAUUUCAAUUAAUUUUUUUUUUCGUUCUUUUUUUACCAAAUUACUGUUUUUAUAAUUGCGUCUUUUUCCAGUUUUCAUUUGGGUCUAUUUCUGAUUUUAAUUUAUGUCGAUGUAUUCGUAUUAUUUAUUUAUUUAUUCAUCUAUUUUAUUUUAUUUUUUUUAAAUGUAUUUUAAUAUUUUUCCCCCACUCUUUCUAUUUUCUUUUUCCUCUCUCUAUUUUCUAUAAUUAUCAGUUAAAUUUAUUUUAUGUCUGAUCCGGCAGAUUAAUUGGGCAUCCCAAUUUGCCGGGCAGAUCAAUGUUUGUUUAUUUUAUGUUUUAAUUUUUGAAUAAAAAUAUCUUAUCUUAUCUAUUAAGCAGAACCAUGUGCAGUGGGAAAGAUGGGGUAUGCUCGUUAGUGCUUGGUUCAUAAGAAUGAAUGGGAAUGAUAAAGCGCCAGGAAAGGAAUGGAUAAUACCAUUCUCCCGUAAUUGAAAUAAAAUUGGUCAAUUUUGAAUCAUCCAAACGAUUUCUAGAAGUUUUUUGGAUGAUUAGUAUCAAUUUGACAAGAAACGGAAGCUUUUUUCAAAAAUAUUUUCCGCUCAGACGCUUCUGAGGCCGUUUUCUGAAAACUUCAUUUUUGCGCUUACUACUCUCGUCGCUACCACGCCACGGUAGCGCAGUGGCGUGCGUGCAAUGCGUGAGGUAUACAUGCAGUCUUGCAGGCGCUAACAGCGCGCACCGUGCAGUACGCGCAAUGCGUGAAGUAUUCGCGUAAUUUUGCAGGCGCUAACAUCGCCGUGGCGGUAAUUCAAAUAAAAUCGGUCAAUUUAUAAUCAUCCAAAUGAUUUCUGACAGUCUUUCGGAUGCUUAGUGGCAAUUUGACAGAGAACGGAGGCUUCUCCCGAUAAAAUUUUCCGCGCACACGCUUCUGAGACCGUUUUCUUAAAACCUCAUUUUUGCACUUACUGCUCUCUUCGCUAUCACGGCAGCACUACAUCACCCCUUCCGUGGCGCCUAUUCAAUCCGCUACCUCUUCUCAUACAGAGCCUUUACUCCACCCCCAUUUUCCCUUCCGCCUUUUUCCCACUUUCUCCUCCAACCAUGUACAGUUUUCCGACCAGUUGAGGCCAGUUUCCUCUGCAACUUUGCGUCACGUUCUUUUGUGUUUAGUGUGUGUUAGCGGGGUUUUUUUGCGUUCUUUUACUUCUAAUUUGUUUCACUUACUCAUAUGAGUACAAUGAUUUUUUCAGUGUUUCCUGAGGUACACCUCAUAAAAUUGCUUUCUUUUUUUCUUUUGGUUUAGUAUAAUUAUUUUUGACUCCUUCGAUAAUCCUGAUCACAGUCUCCUUCGUGAAUCACUCUAUGUCCUUCUCAUUGUAAAGUAUUAUUAUUAUUGACUUCAUUA